UGCAGAAUCCCGUGAACCAUCGAGUCUUUGAACGCAAGUUGCGCCUGAAGCCAUUCGGCCGAAGGCACGUCUGCCUGGGCGUCA
RNAcentral lists this ribosomal RNA (84 nucleotides) under Ribes meyeri. RNAcentral describes it as "partial 5.8S ribosomal RNA". It matches the Rfam family "5.8S ribosomal RNA", at positions 73 to 154 of the family's 154-position model. From Rfam's summary of the family: 5.8S ribosomal RNA (5.8S rRNA) is a component of the large subunit of the eukaryotic ribosome. It is transcribed by RNA polymerase I as part of the 45S precursor that also contains 18S and 28S rRNA. Functionally, it is thought that 5.8S rRNA may be involved in ribosome translocation. The record is from RNAcentral. RNAcentral also lists the same sequence under 2 other names. Lineage: Eukaryota; Viridiplantae; Streptophyta; Magnoliopsida; Saxifragales; Grossulariaceae.